UUGUAAAAAUAUUUAAAAAUGAAAAACGUAUCAAAUUAAUUUUUAGGUUCAAAUUAUAUUUACUUGGUUACAAAAAUUAAAAGCCUUGUGAUCAAAUACCAGAUUGAAUCUAGAGGAAGUAGCUGUGUUGCAGACACUACUGAGAGAAAAGAGACCAAAUAUACACAAAAACUAAAUGUUCAUCUUGUAAUAAACAUGACAGCAGCUCCAAACCAAACCCAAUUCAAUCAAUCAAUUAUGUUUUUGCUUGGGUGCAGAUUGUCUCCAGAUUCCUCCCAAGACACUCCCAAAAAUAGAGUGACAAA
Molecule: long non-coding RNA, 305 nt
Filed under: Carica papaya (papaya)
Lineage: Eukaryota; Viridiplantae; Streptophyta; Magnoliopsida; Brassicales; Caricaceae
Description: long non-coding RNA (CPAP_LNC001968)
Source: RNAcentral